Long non-coding RNA from Drosophila sulfurigaster albostrigata, 692 nucleotides. RefSeq lists it as uncharacterized. The record is from RefSeq and is a predicted model, not a curated record. The transcript is spliced from 2 exons. Lineage: Eukaryota; Metazoa; Arthropoda; Insecta; Diptera; Drosophilidae.
AUACUCGGUAAUGAUGUAACUUCAAUUGAAUUUGUCAUAUUGUUAAGCAGAUAUUGUAACACUGAAUUUAAUUCAAAAUAUGCUCUUAUAAAAAGUUCCCCUCACAGUUUUACAAUGCAAUGGAAAUAUCCCAUUCCAUGAAAACUUUGACUUCAUCCCACUCGAUGCACUUUUGAAUUGCGCUCUUUCAUUUUAUAAUCGACUUACACAAAGGGAAAAACUAAUGAGCCCGGCAAGAGAAGUGACCCUGAACAGAACAAGGAAAAUACUCUUAUCACAUGGAACGCCGAACUCAUCUCUGCAACUCAUUAGUCAUUACGCAUGCAUGCCGGAGUACAGCAAGUCUUUGAUUUAACACCUAAACUGAGCCCGAACAAAGGCGUCAUUAAUUAGGAAUGCUAAGAUGAUGAAAACUAAUCUGCUAAAAGCUUGCGCUCUCCCCUCUUCUCUCUCAUUUCUCCUGGAGGCUCAUUUGUCUGCAAGGAUCAACAUAGUGCUGAGCUCUUUCUCUCUGUGGAGGACAAGGAAAAACAGCAGGAGAGGGUGUGACGUUGUUUGGCACCGGCUCACAUGCGCUUAAUGAACUCUGAAGCUGCUACCAGUUACAACAAUGUUGCACAGAUUUGAAAACACACUACAGCACAGCACAACAUAGCAGAAAAAGAACAGUAGAACAGAACAGAACUGAACUG